RNAcentral lists this ribosomal RNA (499 nucleotides) under uncultured soil bacterium. RNAcentral describes it as "bacterial SSU rRNA". It matches the Rfam family "Bacterial small subunit ribosomal RNA", at positions 26 to 517 of the family's 1533-position model. The record is from RNAcentral.
AGAUUGAACGCUGGCGGCAGGCUUAACACAUGCAAGUCGAGCGGGGAAAUGUAGCUUGCUACAUUACCUAGCGGCGGACGGGUGAGUAAUGCUUAGGAAUCUGCCUAUUAGUGGGGGACAACAUUUCGAAAGGAAUGCUAAUACCGCAUACGCCCUACGGGGGAAAGCAGGGGAUCUUCGGACCUUGCGCUAAUAGAUGAGCCUAAGUCGGAUUAGCUAGUUGGUGGGGUAAAGCCUACCAAGGCGACGAUCUGUAGCGGGUCUGAGAGGAUGAUCCGCCACACUGGGACUGAGACACGGCCCAGACUCCUACGGGAGGCAGCAGUGGGGAAUAUUGGACAAUGGGGGAACCCUGAUCCAGCCAUGCCGCGUGUGUGAAGAAGGCCGUUUUUGGUUGUAAAGCAACUUUAAGCGUAGGAGGAGGCUACCUAGAUUAAUACUCGUGGAUAGUGACGUUACUCGCAGAAGUAAGCACCGGCUAACUCUGUGCCAGCAGCCG